Molecule: ribosomal RNA, 348 nt
Filed under: Triticum aestivum (bread wheat)
Lineage: Eukaryota; Viridiplantae; Streptophyta; Magnoliopsida; Poales; Poaceae
Description: partial small subunit ribosomal RNA
Source: RNAcentral
AUGCAUGCACCUUCACCGCCUGCAGAGGAAAUGGAAAGAGAGGUGGAGCUGGUGCAGGCUUUCCAGGCCAUCGAGGCGGCCGCGCAGAGGUUCUUCGUCACGUACCAACAGGUCGUGGCGGCGGUGUGUGCCAUGAUGGAGGUGUCGGGCAAACGGGCGCUGUUCGUGCCAGCGAGCUCCACAUUCUGGUUCGACAUGAAGAAAGAGUACAAUGAUCGUUGGAGAGUGGAGACGGUGGAAGAGGGUGGGAACCACAUGAUCAUUGCAGCGCUUUGCUACUUACCAUUGUCAUGUAGAGGGUGCUCCCGGGUGAUUGGCAAUGCAUGCCAGUUACCAUUUGUUGGUUAG